UUUUUUAGAAAUGAAUUUAAUUCAUACAUCUUAUUUAAUUUCUGUUGUUUAAAUAUCUUUUUUAUUUGAUGUUAAGAUUAAGGGGGAUUAGCUCCUUGUUUUAUUUUUAUAAUUAUCUUUUUUAUUUAGUUUUGUGGAUUUUAUGGUGAUUUUCAAUUUGAUUAUGUUAAAAUUUUAUUUUUUCUUUUAUUUAUUUAUUGUAGUUUAAUUUGUUUAUUGGAAUGUUUUCUUUAUCUUUGGUUUGUAUAGUAAUUAUUGUGUAAUUAGUAAAUCUUGCUUUUCUACAGUGUAGCGUUCGAUGUUAAUUUCUUUUUAGGAAUUAGGCAAAAUUUUCGUGUCCGCCUGUUUAACAAAAACAUCUUUUCUCGUUAGUUUUUGAAGUAUAGCCUGCCCACUGACAGCGAGUUGAAGGGCCGCGGUAUUUUGACCGUGCAAAGGUAGCAUAAUCAUUAGUUCUUUAAUUGUGAUCUGGUAUGAAUGGCUUGACGAGACACGAGCUGUCUUAAUAGAAUUGUUUAUUGAAUUUGGUCUUUAAGUUAAAAUACUUAAAUGUUUUUAUGGGACGAGAAGACCCUAUAGAGUUUGACAAUUUGCUUAUUUUAUAUUUUAUUAGUUUGUUUCUAUUUAUUUAAUAGGUUAUAUUGUUUUGUUGGGGUGAUGGGAGGAAUAAUUCUAACUCCUCUUUGUUUAGUAUAUUUAUAUAUAUUAUUUGAUCC
This 716-nucleotide ribosomal RNA is filed under the name nr. Cavitermes sp. VR-2017. RNAcentral describes it as "partial 16S ribosomal RNA". The stretch from base 296 to 549 matches the Rfam family "Archaeal large subunit ribosomal RNA", at positions 1786 to 2143 of the family's 2987-position model. Lineage: Eukaryota; Metazoa; Arthropoda; Insecta; Blattodea; Termitidae. The record is from RNAcentral.